This 76-nucleotide transfer RNA is filed under the name Spirochaetales bacterium. Its description in RNAcentral is "tRNA-Asn". It matches the Rfam family "tRNA". Rfam says of the family: Transfer RNA (tRNA) molecules are approximately 80 nucleotides in length. Their secondary structure includes four short double-helical elements and three loops (D, anti-codon, and T loops). Lineage: Bacteria; Pseudomonadati; Spirochaetota; Spirochaetia; Spirochaetales. The record is from RNAcentral.
UCCCCUGUAGCUCAGCCGGUAGAGCAGGUGGCUGUUAACCACCGGGUCGGGAGUUCGAGUCUCUCCGGGGGAGUCA